GAGUUUGAUCCUGGCUCAGGACGAACGCUGGCGGCGUGCCUAAUACAUGCAAGUCGAGCGGACUUAUCCUUCGGGAUCAGUUAGCGGCGGACGGGUGAGUAACACGUAGGUAACCUGCCUUUAAGACUGGGAUAACUAUCGGAAACGAUAACUAAGACCGGAUAAUUGGUUUCUCCGCAUGGAGAGACUAUGAAACACGGAGUAAUCUGUGGCUUAUUGAUGGGCCCGCGGCGCAUUAGCUAGUUGGUGAGGUAAUGGCUCACCAAGGCGACGAUGCGUAGCCGACCUGAGAGGGUGACCGGCCACACUGGGACUGAGACACGGCCCAGACUCCUACGGGAGGCAGCAGUAGGGAAUCUUCCGCAAUGGACGCAAGUCUGACGGAGCAACGCCGCGUGAGUGAUGAAGGUUUUCGGAUCGUAAAGCUCUGUUGCCCUAGACGAACAGCAUGAGGAGUAACUGCCUUGUGUGUGACGGUAUAGGAGAAGAAAGCCCCGGCUAACUACGUGCCAGCAGCCGCGGUAAUACGUAGGGGG
RNAcentral lists this ribosomal RNA (536 nucleotides) under uncultured bacterium. RNAcentral's name for it is "bacterial SSU rRNA". It matches the Rfam family "Bacterial small subunit ribosomal RNA", at positions 9 to 534 of the family's 1533-position model. The record is from RNAcentral.